GGAUGAAGCCCCUUCGGGGGCGGUAAACUACCCUUUCGACCUGGGAAGGAUAAUGACGGUACCAGUGGAAGAAGCACCGGCUAAACUCUGUGC
This 93-nucleotide ribosomal RNA is filed under the name uncultured bacterium. RNAcentral's name for it is "partial 16S ribosomal RNA". The record is from RNAcentral.